GGACGGGUGAGUAAUGCAUAGGAAUCUGCCCGAUAGUGGGGGAUAACCUGGGGAAACCCAGGCUAAUACCGCAUACGUCCUACGGGAGAAAGGGGGCUCCGGCUCCCGCUAUUGGAUGAGCCUAUGUCGGAUUAGCUAGUUGGUGAGGUAAAGGCUCACCAAGGCGACGAUCCGUAGCUGGUCUGAGAGGAUGAUCAGCCACAUCGGGACUGAGACACGGCCCGAACUCCUACGGGAGGCAGCAGUGGGGAAUAUUGGACAAUGGGCGAAAGCCUGAUCCAGCCAUGCCGCGUGUGUGAAGAAGGCCCUCGGGUUGUAAAGCACUUUCAGCGAGGAAGAACGCCUAGUGGUUAAUACCCAUUAGGAAAGACAUCACUCGCAGAAGAAGCACCGGCUAACUCCGUGCCAGCAGCCGCGGUAAUACGGAGGGUGCAAGCGUUAAUCGGAAUUACUGGGCGUAAAGCGCGCGUAGGUGGCUUGAUAAGCCGGUUGUGAAAGCC
RNAcentral lists this ribosomal RNA (500 nucleotides) under Halomonas sp. ZXM068. RNAcentral describes it as "bacterial SSU rRNA". It matches the Rfam family "Bacterial small subunit ribosomal RNA", at positions 100 to 602 of the family's 1533-position model. Lineage: Bacteria; Pseudomonadati; Pseudomonadota; Gammaproteobacteria; Oceanospirillales; Halomonadaceae. The record is from RNAcentral.